This 309-nucleotide ribosomal RNA is filed under the name uncultured bacterium. RNAcentral describes it as "bacterial SSU rRNA". It matches the Rfam family "Bacterial small subunit ribosomal RNA", at positions 27 to 320 of the family's 1533-position model. The record is from RNAcentral.
GAGUGAACGCUGGCGGCAGGCCUAACACAUGCAAGUCGAGCGGCAGCGGGUUCCCGCGAGGGGAUGCCGGCGAGCGGCGGACGGGUGAGGAACACAUCGGAAUCUGCCUGGUUGUGGGGGAUAACGUAGGGAAACUUACGCUAAUACCGCAUGAGACCCUGAGUCGACGGACUGGGGGUGAAAGUGAGGGACCUUCGGGCCUCACGCGACCAGAUGAGCCGAUGUCGGAUAGCUAGUUGGCGGGGUAACGGCCCGCCAAGGCGACGAUCCGUAGCUGGUCUGAGAGGAUGAUCAGCCACACGUGGGACU